This 377-nucleotide ribosomal RNA is filed under the name Theileria annulata. RNAcentral describes it as "SSU rRNA". It matches the Rfam family "Eukaryotic small subunit ribosomal RNA", at positions 509 to 923 of the family's 1831-position model. Lineage: Eukaryota; Apicomplexa; Aconoidasida; Piroplasmida; Theileriidae. The record is from RNAcentral.
UUGGAAUGAUGGGAAUUUAAACCUCUUCCAGAGUAUCAAUUGGAGGGCAAGUCUGGUGCCAGCAGCCGCGGUAAUUCCAGCUCCAAUAGCGUAUAUUAAAAUUGUUGCAGUUAAAAAGCUCGUAGUUGAAUUUCUGCUGCAUUGCUUGUGUCCCUCUGGGGUCUGUGCAUGUGGCUUUUUUCGGACGGAGUUUCUUUGUCUGAAUGUUUACUUUGAGAAAAUUAGAGUGCUCAAAGCAGGCUUUCGCCUUGAAUAGUUUAGCAUGGAAUAAUAAAGUAGGACUUUGGUUCUAUUUUGUUGGUUUUAGGUACCAAAGUAAUGGUUAAUAGGAACAGUUGGGGGCAUUCGUAUUUAACUGUCAAAGGUGAAAUUCUAAG